GCAUACGGCUACCGGCUGCAGUCUUCACUCUACACAACAGUCAAGGAAACAUCAAACCAGAAGAUUGUUGAGGUCCUGGGGGCUUAUGAGGACAGCGCAAGGCCAAUGACUUACGUCCUACUGAUCAUGGGUGGGGAUACAUUCAGUAUUCCAGCACAGCUAUGGAUCCCUCUGGAGCCCAGAGUGGAGGAGCCACCGUUCUGGCUGAAAAUACGUUACACGGGGGGAAAAAUCACAGAGGUGGAGGAGGUGAAAGAAAGAGAAAAGGAGGCUAUGGGGGAGGAAUAAAAGAUCACAAUAAUU
This is a long non-coding RNA of Notolabrus celidotus (New Zealand spotty), 303 nucleotides long. RefSeq lists it as uncharacterized. The transcript is spliced from 2 exons. Lineage: Eukaryota; Metazoa; Chordata; Actinopteri; Labriformes; Labridae. The record is from RefSeq and is a predicted model, not a curated record.